AUUGAACGCUGGCGGCAUGCCUUACACAUGCGAGUCGAACGGCAGCACGGGUGCUUGCACCUGGUGGCGAGUGGCGAACGGGUGAGUAAUACAUCGGAACAUGUCCUGUAGUGGGGGAUAGCCCGGCGAAAGCCGGAUUAAUACCGCAUACGAUCUACGGGUGAAAGCGGGGGACCUUCGGGCCUCGCGCUAUAGGGUUGGCCGAUGGCUGAUUAGCUAGUUGGUGGGGUAAAGGCCUACCAAGGCGACGAUCAGUAGCUGGUCUGAGAGGACGACCAGCCACACUGGGACUGAGACACGGCCCAGACUCCUACGGGAGGCAGCAGUGGGGAAUUUUGGACAAUGGGCGAAAGCCUGAUCCAGCAAUGCCGCGUGUGUGAAGAAGGCCUUCGGGUUGUAAAGCACUUUUGUCCGGAAAGAAAUCCUUGGCCCUAAUACGGUCGGGGGAUGACGGUACCGGAAGAAUAAGCACCGGCUAACUACGUG
This 486-nucleotide ribosomal RNA is filed under the name uncultured bacterium. RNAcentral's name for it is "partial 16S ribosomal RNA". It matches the Rfam family "Bacterial small subunit ribosomal RNA", at positions 30 to 507 of the family's 1533-position model. The record is from RNAcentral.